Molecule: ribosomal RNA, 504 nt
Filed under: uncultured euryarchaeote
Lineage: Archaea; Methanobacteriati; Methanobacteriota
Description: bacterial SSU rRNA
Rfam family: Archaeal small subunit ribosomal RNA
Source: RNAcentral
ACGGCUCAGUAACACGUGGAUAACCUGCCCUCAGGUCCGGCAUAACCUCGGGAAACUGAGGAUAAUUCCGGAUAUCCCUUUUCUGCUGGAAGGCUUAAAGGGACAAAGAAUUUCGCCUGAGGAUGGGUCUGCGGCCUAUCAGGUUGUAGGGGGUGUAACGUACCCUCUAGCCGACAACGGGUACGGGUUGUGAGAGCAAGAGCCCGGAGAUGGAUUCUGAGACAUGAAUCCAGGCCCUACGGGGCGCAGCAGGCGCGAAAACUUUACAAUGCAGGAAACUGUGAUAAGGGAACACCGAGUGCUCGCAUCAAAUGCGGGCUGUCCACAUACCUAAAUCGUAUGUGUUAGCAAGGGCCGGGCAAGACCGGUGCCAGCCGCCGCGGUAAUACCGGUGGCCCGAGUGGUAGCCGCUUUUAUUGGGUCUAAAGGGUCCGUAGCCUGUCUGAUCAGUCCAUUGGGAAAUCCGGAUGCUCAACAUCCGGCUGCCAGUGGAUACUGUCAGAC